This 687-nucleotide ribosomal RNA is filed under the name uncultured euryarchaeote. RNAcentral describes it as "bacterial SSU rRNA". It matches the Rfam family "Archaeal small subunit ribosomal RNA", at positions 73 to 758 of the family's 1478-position model. Lineage: Archaea; Methanobacteriati; Methanobacteriota. The record is from RNAcentral.
GACCCGUAGCAAACAGCUCAGUAACACGUGGCCAAACUACCCUCUGGACGCGGACACCCUCGGGAAACUGAGGCUAAUCCGCGAUACGGCUCCCACGCUGGAAUGCGGGGAGCCGGAAAGGCUCCGGCGCCAGAGGAUGUGGCUGCGGCCGAUUAGGUAGACGGUGGGGUAACGGCCCACCGUGCCCAUAAUCGGUACGGGAUGUGAGAGCAAAUAGCCCGGAGAUGGAUUCUGAGACAAGAAUCCAGGCCCUACGGGGCGCAGCAGGCGCGAAACCUUUACACUGCACGCCAGUGCGAUAAGGGGACCCCGAGUGCGAGGGCAUACAGUCCUCGCUUUUGUACACCGUAAGGAGGUGUACGAAUAAGGGCUGGGCAAGACCGGUGCCAGCCGCCGCGGUAAUACCGGCAGCCCGAGUGAUGGCCGCUGUUAUUGGGCCUAAAGCGUCCGUAGCCGGCCGAACAAGUCUGUCGGGAAAUCCAUCCGCCUAACGGAUGGGCGUCCGGCAGAAACUGUUCGGCUUGGGGCCGGAAGAUCCGAGGGGUACGUCCGGGGUAGGAGUGAAAUCCCGUAAUCCUGGACGGACCGCCGGUGGCGAAAGCGCCUCGGAAGGACGGACCCGACGGUGAGGGACGAAAGCUGGGGUCUCGAACCGGAUUAGAUACCCGGGUAGUCCCAGCCGUAAAC